UUCGCUUCAUUCAUGCUUUUGGGGAGCACAUUAUCUUCUAGAAGAAUCUCUUUGAAAAGAAUAAACAACUCUAUGAAGGCCUUGUCUGAUAGACCAUUUUCUACUUUAAAUCUAAGAAGCUCUAUUGUGACACUCAACUUGGAAUAUUUCUUUUUGAAACUUGGACACAAAUAUUUCUUGGAGGCCGCAUCAUUGCUUGGCAGCUCCUUAUACUUUGCUAAAUCUGCUUCUUGGCUUUGGGAUUCGGCAAUAGCAGCAAAAUCUAGCAUAUCAUCUAUGUCGGUGUCGUAUACCUCACAUUCUUGGGUUUUUGGGAUGAUUUGGCAUGCCAUUCUUCAGUCUGUAGCUUGAUGUGUCAUCCUCGAGGUUGAGCUCAACACCCAUGCGACUCUGGUAGGGGUUUGGAUGACAUGCCAGUUAUUACCUUAAUCCAUAACCGACUCUUCACCAUGUUUAGUCAAUCGUGUGUAUCGAUCCAUGAAUCCCCUCUUGAACAAGUGAUACCCGACUUCAUGAAUUGAAUGUGACACCAUAUUGAUACAAUCCUUGCAUGAAGAUAGGAUGUAAUCUUCUUUGCCAAUUCUCCUCGUUAUCCUUCAGCUAAAGCCAAGAAAUCCUAGGUGCCAUCCACAUACCUUGAGCUUCUAUGACCCCACCAUCCAUUUAGAUCAUUCCA
Molecule: long non-coding RNA, 676 nt
Filed under: Hordeum vulgare
Lineage: Eukaryota; Viridiplantae; Streptophyta; Magnoliopsida; Poales; Poaceae
Description: long non-coding RNA (HVUL_LNC012297)
Source: RNAcentral